This 197-nucleotide ribosomal RNA is filed under the name uncultured bacterium. RNAcentral's name for it is "partial 16S ribosomal RNA". It matches the Rfam family "Bacterial small subunit ribosomal RNA", at positions 328 to 539 of the family's 1533-position model. The record is from RNAcentral.
ACGCACGACACCUACGGAGGCAGCAGUGGGGAAUAUUGCACAAUGGGGGAAACCCUGAUGCAGCGACGCCGAGUGAGCGAAGAAGUAUUUCGGUAUGUAAAGCUCUAUCAGCAGGGAAGAAAGUGACGGUACCUGACUAAGAAGCACCGGCUAAAUACGUGCCAGUAGCCGCGGUAAUCUGAGCGGGCUGGCAAGGC